GAGGGUAUAGCUCAGUGGUAGAGUGCGUGCUUAGCACGGACAAGAUCCUGGGUUCAACCCCCGGUACCUCCA
This 72-nucleotide transfer RNA is filed under the name Camelus bactrianus (Bactrian camel). It matches the Rfam family "tRNA". From Rfam's summary of the family: Transfer RNA (tRNA) molecules are approximately 80 nucleotides in length. Their secondary structure includes four short double-helical elements and three loops (D, anti-codon, and T loops). The record is from Rfam by way of RNAcentral. RNAcentral also lists the same sequence under 2 other names. Lineage: Eukaryota; Metazoa; Chordata; Mammalia; Artiodactyla; Camelidae.